CGCCUGCANUGUNUGACAAUUUAUCAACGGGGGGGGGUCGCGAGGCAAUUUGUGUUUGGNCNAUUNAUUGUUUACUUUGAGGUAGGAGUACUUCCCGGGCCUCUAAUCUUUUACAUUUAUGCCCGGAAAAAGAGAGAAGGAUUAGCCCGCUCCUNUAANUUUAAGAAUAAGGGGGAGAAAANGAAAAUUUACAAGGUUUUCGCUUAGUANCUCGGAGUGAAGCGGGAAAAGGUUUAAAUUUAAAUUCUGGCCGGUUUCCACGUUUCGAGUUGUAAUCUAGAAAAGUGUUAACCAUGCCUGGACCGUGUCCAAGUCUCCUUGGAAUAGAGCGUUCAUAGUGGGUGAGAAUACCCGUUUUUGCCNCGGNUUCCCAGUGCAUUGUGAUGCGCUCUCAACGAGUCGAGUUGUUCAGGAAUGCAGCUCAAAAUGGGUGGUAANCNCCAUCUAAAGCUAAAUAUUGGCGAGAGACCGAUAGCGAACAAGUACCGUGAGGGAAAGAUGAAAAGAACUUUGGAAAGAGAGUUAAACAGUACGUGAAAUUGUUGAAAGGGAAACGCUUGAAGUCAGUCGCGNUCGCUGGGGAUCAACCUUCUCUCGAGUUGGUGUACUUCCCAGUUGACGGGUCAGCAUCGAUUUUGACUGUUGGAUAAAAGCUGGAGGAAUGUGGCAUCUCCGGAUGUGUUAUAGCCUCUUGUUGCAUACAACAGUUGGGAUCGAGGAACUCAGCACGCCGCAAGGCCGGGGUUUUACCCACGUACGUGCUUAGGAUGCUGGCAUAA
Molecule: ribosomal RNA, 779 nt
Filed under: uncultured fungus
Lineage: Eukaryota; Fungi
Description: eukaryotic LSU rRNA
Rfam family: Eukaryotic large subunit ribosomal RNA (bases 127-779)
Source: RNAcentral